CCCUUAGAUGUUCUGGGCCGCACGCGUGCUACACUGAGUGGAUCAGCGGGUCAGGUUGCGCGAAAGCGUUUCCUAAUCUUUAAAUCCGCUCGUGAUGGGGAUUGACGGUUGCAAUUUUCUGUCAUGAACGAGGAAUACCUUGUAAGCGCGGGUCAUCAUCCCGCGCUGAAUACGUCCCUGCCCUUUGUACACACCGCCCGUCGCUCCUACCGAUUGAGUGGUCCGGUGAGGCUUUGGGACCUGGACGGAAAGAGCGUUUCGCUUGUUCUGUUUGGGAAACUUGGUCGAACCUUAUCAUUUAGAGGAAGGAGAAGUCGUAACA
RNAcentral lists this ribosomal RNA (322 nucleotides) under uncultured eukaryote. RNAcentral describes it as "partial 18S ribosomal RNA". It matches the Rfam family "Eukaryotic small subunit ribosomal RNA", at positions 1470 to 1796 of the family's 1831-position model. The record is from RNAcentral.